This 401-nucleotide ribosomal RNA is filed under the name uncultured bacterium. Its description in RNAcentral is "partial 16S ribosomal RNA". It matches the Rfam family "Bacterial small subunit ribosomal RNA", at positions 359 to 776 of the family's 1533-position model. The record is from RNAcentral.
GAUAUUGCGACAAUGUUCGAAAGCCUGACGCAGCAACGCCGCGUGCGGGAGGACGGCCUUCGGGUUGUAAACCGCUUUUCGAGGGGAAGAGGCAGGACGGUACCCUCGGACUAAGUCUCUGCUAACCACGUUCCUGCAUCCGCGGUAAAACGUAGGAGGCGAGCGUUAUCCGGAUUUACUGGGUGUACAGCGCGUGCAGGCGGCCGCGCAAGUCGUGCGUGAAAGCGCCCGGCUCAACCGGGCGAGGUCGUGCGAAACUGCGGGGCUUGAGGCAGGUAGAGGCGUGUGGAAUUCCGGGUGUAGUAGUGAAAUGCGUAGAGAUCCGGAGGAACACCAGUGGCGAAGGCGGCACGCUGGGCCUGGCCUGACGCUCAGACGCGAAAGCAUGGGGAGCGAACGGG